Molecule: ribosomal RNA, 317 nt
Filed under: Uroplatus finiavana
Lineage: Eukaryota; Metazoa; Chordata; Lepidosauria; Squamata; Gekkonidae
Description: partial small subunit ribosomal RNA
Source: RNAcentral
ACUUGACAGUAUCUCAUACACCCCUAGAGGAGCCUGUCCUAUAAUCGAUAACCCACGAUAUACCUCACCCGUCCUAGCACCACUCAGCCUAUAUACCUCCGUCGCCAGUCCGCCUGUUAACAGACACUAAAGCGAAUAUAAUAGUUAACCCCCUCAUACGACAGGUCAAGGUGUAGCUAAUGAACUGGGCAAAGAUGGGCUACAUUUUCUUUAUUAGAAAAUACCCACGUACUAUGCAAACUGUACAAAAGGUGGAUUUAGCAGUAAGCGGGACAAGGCAAGCCCAUCUGAAGCCAACCAUGAGAUGUGUACACACC